GCUUCCGGAGCUAACGCGUUAAGUCGACCGCCUGGGGAGUACGGCCGCAAGGUUAAAACUCAAAUGAAUUGACGGGGGCCCGCACAAGCGGUGGAGCAUGUGGUUUAAUUCGAUGCAACGCGAAGAACCUUACCUACUCUUGACAUCCAGAGAACUUUCCAGAGAUGGAUUGGUGCCUUCGGGAACUCUGAGACAGGUGCUGCAUGGCUGUCGUCAGCUCGUGUUGUGAAAUGUUGGGUUAAGUCCCGCAACGAGCGCAACCCUUAUCCUUUGUUGCCAGCGGUUCGGCCGGGAACUCAAAGGAGACUGCCAGUGAUAAACUGGAGGAAGGUGGGGAUGACGUCAAGUCAUCAUGGCCCUUACGAGUAGGGCUACACACGUGCUACAAUGGCGCAUACAAAGAGAAGCGACCUCGCGAGAGCAAGCGGACCUCAUAAAGUGCGUCGUAGUCCGGAUUGGAGUCUGCAACUCGACUCCAUGAAGUCGGAAUCGCUAGUAAUCGUAGAUCAGAAUGCUACGGUGAAUACGUUCCCGGGCCUUGUACACACCGCCCGUCACACCAUGGGAGUGGGUUGCAAAAGAAGUAGGUAGCUUAACCUUCGGGAGGGCGCUUACCACUUUGUGAUUCAUGACUGGGGUGAAGUCGUAACAAGGUAACCAAGGGCGAAUUCCAG
Molecule: ribosomal RNA, 674 nt
Filed under: uncultured Serratia sp.
Lineage: Bacteria; Pseudomonadati; Pseudomonadota; Gammaproteobacteria; Enterobacterales; Yersiniaceae
Description: bacterial SSU rRNA
Rfam family: Bacterial small subunit ribosomal RNA
Source: RNAcentral